Molecule: long non-coding RNA, 461 nt
Filed under: Fukomys damarensis (Damara mole-rat)
Lineage: Eukaryota; Metazoa; Chordata; Mammalia; Rodentia; Bathyergidae
Description: lncRNA (ENSFDAG00000030785.1)
Source: RNAcentral
AAGCCGACCAACGAGCUUCCUUAUCGUCUUUCCAGAAUUCUGCUCUUUCUGGAGUCCAUUGGACUUGGCUUGCAGUUCAAACAAGGCCAGGUGUGAAUGGGAAAGUUAUGAGAAUAGAUGCCAGAACUGUAGCGACCAGAAAAUAUAAGGUCCACGUCCCAUAUUUAGGACAGAGAGAAGAACAGUUGAUCCGGCAAAGGAGCACCUACCCACUCCGCCCCACGUUCGCCACUUCUGUGCACUCACGGCUCUCCAAAUGCCAAGGACACUGAGCCACCGAGACAAGAAACGGCCAACCUAAGGUCACGUGGCGAGUUUUUCAAAUGGAGAUACGAAUAAACUCAGGACUCUUGACUGACUUUCUGAUUGGAGAUAUAGUAUUGCUACUUCUGAAAUGACCAUUAUUCAUCAAGAACCCACACGUACUGUACACAUUGACAAAAGACUAAAAAAUAAGCAGG